This is a long non-coding RNA of Mustela erminea (ermine), 94 nucleotides long. RefSeq lists it as uncharacterized. The record is from RefSeq and is a predicted model, not a curated record. Lineage: Eukaryota; Metazoa; Chordata; Mammalia; Carnivora; Mustelidae. The transcript is spliced from 3 exons.
AGAAGAGAGACAUUGGGAGAGAAAGUUUAUUUGAAGAAAUAGUAGCUGAAAUUUUCCCAACUCUAGGGAAGGCAACAGACAUCCAGAUUCAAGA